RNAcentral lists this ribosomal RNA (377 nucleotides) under uncultured bacterium. Its description in RNAcentral is "bacterial SSU rRNA". It matches the Rfam family "Bacterial small subunit ribosomal RNA", at positions 524 to 898 of the family's 1533-position model. The record is from RNAcentral.
UACGUAGGGUGCGAGCGUUGUCCGGAAUUAUUGGGCGUAAAGGGCUCGUAGGCGGUCCGUCGCGUCUGCCGUGAAAGCCCGGAGCUUAACUCCGGGUCUGCGGUGGAUACGGGCGGACUAGAGUGCGGCAGGGGAGACUGGAAUUCCUGGUGUAGCGGUGAAAUGCGCAGAUAUCAGGAGGAACACCGGUGGCGAAGGCGGGUCUCUGGGCCGACACUGACGCUGAGGAGCGAAAGCGUGGGGAGCGAACAGGAUUAGAUACCCUGGUAGUCCACGCCGUAAACGGUGGGCGCUAGGUGUGGGAUCCUUUCCACGGAUUCCGUGCCGUAGCUAACGCAUUAAGCGCCCCGCCUGGGGAGUACGGCCGCAAGGCUAAA